GGGGGAGGCCGGAUCCUGGGCUGUGUCCCGGCGCCCUGUGCUCUGGGGCCUGCGCUGUUGGAUUCGCGCUACAGGGCCGCGCAAUCCCCU
RNAcentral lists this microRNA precursor (90 nucleotides) under Canis lupus dingo (dingo). Its description in RNAcentral is "mir-8799 microRNA precursor family". It matches the Rfam family "mir-8799 microRNA precursor family". Lineage: Eukaryota; Metazoa; Chordata; Mammalia; Carnivora; Canidae. The record is from Rfam by way of RNAcentral.